RNAcentral lists this ribosomal RNA (305 nucleotides) under uncultured bacterium. RNAcentral describes it as "partial 16S ribosomal RNA". It matches the Rfam family "Bacterial small subunit ribosomal RNA", at positions 508 to 807 of the family's 1533-position model. The record is from RNAcentral.
ACAGCAGUAGCCGCGGGAAUACGGAGGGUGCAAGCGUUAAUCGGAAUUACUGGGCGUAAAGCGCACGCAGGCGGUUUGUUAAGUCAGAUGUGAAAUCCCCGAGCUUAACUUGGGAACUGCAUUUGAAACUGGCAAGCUAGAGUCUUGUAGAGGGGGGUAGAAUUCCAGGUGUAGCGGUGAAAUGCGUAGAGAUCUGGAGGAAUACCGGUGGCGAAGGCGGCCCCCUGGACAAAGACUGACGCUCAGGUGCGAAAGCGUGGGGAGCAAACAGGAUUAGAUACCCCAGUAGUCCCUGUCUCUUAUAC